AUGCACGCUGGCGGCGUGCCUAAUACAUGCCAGUCGCGCGAACAGACGAGGAGCUUGCUCCUCUGACGUUAGCGGCGGACGGGUGAGUAACACGUGGAUAACCUACCUAUAAGACUGGGAUAACUUCGGGAAACCGGAGCUAAUACCGGAUAAUAUAUUGAACCGCAUGGUUCAAUAGUGAAAGACGGUUUUGCUGUCACUUAUAGAUGGAUCCGCGCUGCAUUAGCUAGUUGGUAAGGUAACGGCUUACCAAGGCAACGAUGCGUAGCCGACCUGAGAGGGUGAUCGGCCACACUGGAACUGAGACACGGUCCAGACUCCUACGGGAGGCAGCAGUAGGGAAUCUUCCGCAAUGGGCGAAAGCCUGACGGAGCAACGCCGCGUGAGUGAUGAAGGUCUUCGGAUCGUAAAACUCUGUUAUUAGGGAAGAACAAAUGUGUAAGUAACUAUGCACGUCUUGACGGUACCUAAUCAGAAAGCCACGGCUAACUACGUG
Molecule: ribosomal RNA, 496 nt
Filed under: uncultured bacterium
Lineage: Bacteria
Description: partial 16S ribosomal RNA
Rfam family: Bacterial small subunit ribosomal RNA
Source: RNAcentral